ACCUGGUUGGCUCAGUUGGAAGAGUUUAUGACUCUUGAUCUUGAGGUUGUGAGUUCAAGCCCCACAUUGAGUG
This 73-nucleotide transfer RNA is filed under the name Felis catus (domestic cat). It matches the Rfam family "tRNA". From Rfam's summary of the family: Transfer RNA (tRNA) molecules are approximately 80 nucleotides in length. Their secondary structure includes four short double-helical elements and three loops (D, anti-codon, and T loops). RNAcentral also lists the same sequence under 6 other names. Lineage: Eukaryota; Metazoa; Chordata; Mammalia; Carnivora; Felidae. The record is from Rfam by way of RNAcentral.